This 28-nucleotide small RNA is filed under the name Bombyx mori (domestic silkworm). RNAcentral's name for it is "piRNA piR-bmo-1948473". Lineage: Eukaryota; Metazoa; Arthropoda; Insecta; Lepidoptera; Bombycidae. The record is from RNAcentral.
UGUUCAUGUGGAUCUCCAUGGGAUUGGU